This is a long non-coding RNA of Phyllostomus discolor (pale spear-nosed bat), 317 nucleotides long. RefSeq lists it as uncharacterized. The record is from RefSeq and is a predicted model, not a curated record. The transcript is spliced from 3 exons. NCBI's taxonomy places the organism in Eukaryota, Metazoa, Chordata, Mammalia, Chiroptera, Phyllostomidae.
ACAGGUCCGCGCCUCAUCCCUGCAGCCUGGUGUGGGUCUCAGGACCACGCAGCACUAACAAACUCUGCAGGUGGUAUUUCCGCAGCUGGGCCAUGACAAAGUACACUGAUUAACUAUGAAAAUAACCGCUGAUACUGAAUUUCCUGUGGGAAAGAUAAUCCCGUUAAGCUGGCCCCAAAAGGAUGAGAGACGCAUGGAGCAGAUUGGGGACCUUACCCCCCACUUAGAACCCAGACCCGCAGAGCCCACCCAGCACAGGGCAGCCGAUCCCAAUCGACACUUGAGCAGGAAACAAAUGCUCAACCUAAUGUCACUGA